GGGCUGAUGAUUCUCCAGAGGCAGCCUGGGAGGCUGGCUAAUUCUGUUUAGGCAAAGCCUGCUUGCUCGCAGGGGUAAGUGGUGAUUUGCAACUUGAUUCCUAAAAAAGAGUGUGACCAAAAUGACGUGUAAGGCAGAUUUUCUUGUUGCCUUAAUUCCUUCCCACACCCCAUUGCCUACAAAAUACACACAGCUAGAGUGCCCCCACCCCAUGCCUAUUCUCUUAUUUCUUCCCCUAAAUCCACAGUGGCUGAUUAACACGGGGUGUGUGUGGGGCCUGUGGUCUGAAUUGUUAGCAAUUGGGGAAGGUGAGACCCGUUUAAAUUGUUCUUAAUUUCCCACCACACACGGGGGAGAAGGAAGCAGUUUUGUAAGUACGAGCCAGAAAUUGUAUUCAUAAAACAUUUAGUUGAGAUAACCCCAAACCAUGUUCCUCAAAUUCAAAUCACACAUGCUUAUUUGAAGUGGAAAACAGCUUUCUGAGAUCUAGUCCCAAUGUCCCUGACAUUGCAGGUGAAGACACUCUAGGGAAGUCUCUGCCAGACCCAAAAAGGAGAGCUAUAGCUAUGGACCAGCCUCAUCCUGCCUGUGUCUGUGUGGCCUGAGAAGAAAAGUGGGCCGAUUUCUCCAAUUUGAAGAAAGUGUGUUCGUUAAUUCAGUAAUAUUUCGGAGUGGCUGCAGGAGGCCUGGCUGUGUGCCAUCCUGAUGGCUUCAAGAAGUUUGUUUUGCCUUUUACUUUCCCGGUGUCUUCUCUUCCUCCAAAGCCAGAUCCACGAUGUGGCAUUCCUGUUCCACCUGGCUCUUCUGCGCUCCCAAGGACCCACUCCCAGAGCCUGCGGAAGCACAAGAUUGAACUGCUGCUGUUUGUCGGAAGGAGGCAGAGAAGAACUAGGCAUAUCUCCACAGGGAAAGAGUAGGCACUGGUCGUUCCUGAUGGAAGAGAUGCAAAGAAAAGACCAGAGCCUUGUUUAAGUAGCGUGUUUGCAUCCUGACACCAAGGGGAUCUGAUCAUCUGAGAGCUUCCAGUCUAGGUCUUAACAGCUUUCAAAAAUCAAACACGUUAAAACAAAACAAUACAAAACAAAAGCACAGAGAGGCAGUUGCACGUUUUUGCAGUCAUUUGUGUAAAGAGAUAACAUGUCUGUGGCACAAAAACUACCUACAAUAAGAGAUGUGUGGUUUGGCUCUUCUAGAAGAAAACGAAGCUUCCAGAAAUUGGCUACUGGUUUUGUAGAAAACGUGAAGUCAUUUCACAACAUUUCAUUAUAACAGUGAACUCAGAAACUCCUGUGAGACUCAUUUUAUUUUAGGGAGAGAGUGAGCACAUAUGCACGUGGUAGUGGU
Molecule: long non-coding RNA, 1344 nt
Filed under: Vulpes vulpes (red fox)
Lineage: Eukaryota; Metazoa; Chordata; Mammalia; Carnivora; Canidae
Description: lncRNA (ENSVVUG00000020754.1)
Source: RNAcentral